Molecule: long non-coding RNA, 1046 nt
Organism: Oxyura jamaicensis (ruddy duck)
Lineage: Eukaryota; Metazoa; Chordata; Aves; Anseriformes; Anatidae
Exons: 2
Source: RefSeq, a predicted model, not a curated record
GCUUCUGAACACCGGGGGAAACUUUGUGUUAUUCAUGGAAAACCAAACCAGCUUAUUUUAAAAUUCCGACUCGACUGGAUAGCAUAUACCUUCAGAGAAACCGGCAGAAGGAGCAGCAGCGCCUGCAAGGUUUGGCUGCAUACCUUCAAAGGCAACAAUUAAUGGAAGCUAGUUUGUAGGCUCUGUCCUCAGCUCCUUUGUAGGACCUUCAGCAUCCUGUGAAACAAAAUCUGGUACCUUAGAAGGUUUAGAGCAAUAACGUACCUGCAUUUGAGGGAACCACAUGUACCACCCAAAUGAGCUGUUAACAAGGAUGCUGGGCAAGUGGUAUUUACGUAGUCAGCGUUUCCUUUUAGACAUAAAAUGGAACACACGAUCUAGCAUUCCCCACGCUUUUGUAAGAUGGAAAACCACCCACGGGAAACAGCGUGUACAGUACCCAUGUGCAGCAUAAAAACAUUUCACAAAUAAUGAAAACAUCCCUUUUGAAAAUCUCAACAAAAACAGAUCCCAUUGGGACCAGACUGUCAGUGCCUCCCAAAACAAGGCAGAAAUAUCUAGCCUAUAAAAUAUGCCAAAGGUGACCAGUAAGUAUCCCACUAAUGUCUGAAACUGCUCACUGCUUCGUUUGCUGAAAAAAAGUAAGUAUGACUUUUGUAUUUAAAUCUUAGGCACCAUGUUAACAGAUUCACUACAUUACCCUUUAAGGUCUAUUCUCUCCUAACAGCUACUCAGGAAGACACCUAUCUGUCCAUUGGGAAAAGUGGAAUUAACAUCUCUUGGUUAUGCAGAUCAAUUCUGCUGGGCAUCAGCUUCUGUAACAGUGCAAAAGAAUUCUGGAAUCCCUGAAGAAUGACAAAUGUGAUCCAAAAGCAUCUUCCAGUCCAGAAGUUCUCUGCAGGUGGAAUUUCUCAAGACAAAACACUGACAAAGAAGCAGCCAUGUUUCUUUCAAAAAUAAAAAAUUAAAAAAUUCAGGCCUAAUGGUUACCACUGAGCUUGUAACUAAAGGAAUGGAGUACAGAAGGAUGACUUUGGCAUAACACA